Molecule: ribosomal RNA, 1109 nt
Filed under: Photobacterium sp. G9-23
Lineage: Bacteria; Pseudomonadati; Pseudomonadota; Gammaproteobacteria; Vibrionales; Vibrionaceae
Description: bacterial SSU rRNA
Rfam family: Bacterial small subunit ribosomal RNA
Source: RNAcentral
AUGGGGGACCCUGAUGCAGCCAUGCCGCGUGUGUGAAGAAGGCCUUCGGGUUGUAAAGCACUUUCAGCAGUGAGGAAGGGGUGGUGUUUAAUAGAUGCCAUCUUUGACGUUAGCUGCAGAAGAAGCACCGGCUAACUCCGUGCCAGCAGCCGCGGUAAUACGGAGGGUGCGAGCGUUAAUCGGAAUUACUGGGCGUAAAGCGCAUGCAGGCGGCGUGUUAAGCCAGAUGUGAAAGCCCGGGGCUCAACCUCGGAAUAGCAUUUGGAACUGGCAUGCUAGAGUCUUGUAGAGGGGGGUAGAAUUUCAGGUGUAGCGGUGAAAUGCGUAGAGAUCUGAAGGAAUACCGGUGGCGAAGGCGGCCCCCUGGACAAAGACUGACGCUCAGAUGCGAAAGCGUGGGGAGCAAACAGGAUUAGAUACCCUGGUAGUCCACGCCGUAAACGAUGUCUACUUGGAGGUUGGUGUCUUGAACACUGGCUUUCGGAGCUAACGCGUUAAGUAGACCGCCUGGGGAGUACGGUCGCAAGAUUAAAACUCAAAUGAAUUGACGGGGGCCCGCACAAGCGGUGGAGCAUGUGGUUUAAUUCGAUGCAACGCGAAGAACCUUACCUACUCUUGACAUCCAGAGAACUUUCCAGAGAUGGAUUGGUGCCUUCGGGAACUCUGAGACAGGUGCUGCAUGGCUGUCGUCAGCUCGUGUUGUGAAAUGUUGGGUUAAGUCCCGCAACGAGCGCAACCCUUAUCCUUGUUUGCCAGCACUUCGGGUGGGAACUCCAGGGAGACUGCCGGUGAUAAACCGGAGGAAGGUGGGGACGACGUCAAGUCAUCAUGGCCCUUACGAGUAGGGCUACACACGUGCUACAAUGGCGUAUACAGAGGGCUGCCAACUAGCGAUAGUGAGCGAAUCCCACAAAGUACGUCGUAGUCCGGAUUGCAGUCUGCAACUCGACUCCAUGAAGUCGGAUCGCUAGUAAUCGUGGAUCAGAAUGCCACGGUGAAUACGUUCCCGGCCUGUACACACGCCCGUCACACCAUGGGAGUGGGCUGCACAGAGGUAGAUAGCUAACCUUCAGGAGGCCGUUUACCACGGUGUGAUCAUGACUGGGGUG